GUCCACGCCCUAAACGAUGAUCACUAGGUGUUGGGGAGCGAUCUCCGAGUACCGUAGCUAACGCGUGAAGUGAUCCGCCUGGGGAGUACGGUCGCAAGAUUAAAACUCAAAGGAAUUGACGGGACCCGCACAAGCGGUGGAUGAUGUGGAUUAAUUCGAUGCAACGCGAACAACCUUACCUACCCUUGACAUGUCCGGAAGGCCCCCUGAGAGGGGGUUGUGCCUGAAAGGGAACCGGAACACAGGUGCUGCAUGGCUGUCGU
Molecule: ribosomal RNA, 263 nt
Filed under: uncultured bacterium
Lineage: Bacteria
Description: partial 16S ribosomal RNA
Rfam family: Bacterial small subunit ribosomal RNA
Source: RNAcentral